GACGAACGCUGGCGGCGUGCCUAAUACAUGCAAGUAGAACGCGGAAGAGAGGAGCUUGCUCUUCUUGGAUGAGUUGCGAACGGGUGAGUAACGCGUAGGUAACCUGCCUUGUAGCGGGGGAUAACUAUUGGAAACGAUAGCUAAUACCGCAUAACAAUGGAUGACACAUGUCAUUUAUUUGAAAGGGGCAAUUGCUCCACUACAAGAUGGACCUGCGUUGUAUUAGCUAGUAGGUGAGGUAACGGCUCACCUAGGCGACGAUACAUAGCCGACCUGAGAGGGUGAUCGGCCACACUGGGACUGAGACACGGCCCAGACUCCUACGGGAGGCAGCAGUAGGGAAUCUUCGGCAAUGGGGGCAACCCUGACCGAGCAACGCCGCGUGAGUGAAGAAGGUUUUCGGAUCGUAAAGCUCUGUUGUAAGUCAAGAACGAGUGUGAGAGUGGAAAAUUCACACUGUGACGGUAGCUUACCAGAAAGGGACGGCUAACUGCGUGCCAGCAGCCGCGGUAAUACGUAGGUCCCGAGCGUUGUCCGGAUUUAUUGGGCGUAAAGCGAGCGCAGGCGGUUUGAUAAGUCUGAAGUUAAAGGCUGUGGCUCAACCAUAGUUCGCUUUGGAAACUGUCAAACUUGAGUGCAGAAGGGGAGAGUGGAAUUCCAUGUGUAGCGGUGAAAUGCGUAGAUAUAUGGAGGAACACCGGUGGCGAAAGCGGCUCUCUGGUCUGUAACUGACGCUGAGGCUCGAAAGCGUGGGGAGCGAACAGGAUUAGAUACCCUGGUAGUCCACGCCGUAAACGAUGAGUGCUAGGUGUUGGAUCCUUUCCGGGAUUCAGUGCCGCAGUUAACGCAUUAAGCACUCCGCCUGGGGAGUACGACCGCAAGGUUGAAACUCAAAGGAAUUGACGGGGGCCCGCACAAGCGGUGGAGCAUGUGGUUUAAUUCGAAGCAACGCGAAGAACCUUACCAGGUCUUGACAUCCCGAUGCUAUUUCUAGAGAUAGAAAGUUACUUCGGUACAUCGGUGACAGGUGGUGCAUGGUUGUCGUCAGCUCGUGUCGUGAGAUGUUGGGUUAAGUCCCGCAACGAGCGCAACCCCUAUUGUUAGUUGCCAUCAUUCAGUUGGGCACUCUAGCGAGACUGCCGGUAAUAAACCGGAGGAAGGUGGGGAUGACGUCAAAUCAUCAUGCCCCUUAUGACCUGGGCUACACACGUGCUACAAUGGUUGGUACAACGAGUUGCGAGUCGGUGACGGCAAGCUAAUCUCUUAAAGCCAAUCUCAGUUCGGAUUGUAGGCUGCAACUCGCCUACAUGAAGUCGGAAUCGCUAGUAAUCGCGGAUCAGCACGCCGCGGUGAAUACGUUCCCGGGCCU
RNAcentral lists this ribosomal RNA (1369 nucleotides) under uncultured bacterium. RNAcentral describes it as "bacterial SSU rRNA". It matches the Rfam family "Bacterial small subunit ribosomal RNA", at positions 28 to 1381 of the family's 1533-position model. The record is from RNAcentral.